GCUUACGGCCACACCGGCCUGAGUACGCCUGAUCUCGUCCGAUCUCGGAAGCUAAGCAGGGUCGGGCCUGGUUAGUACUUGGAUGGAGGGAGACCGCCUGGGAAUACCAGGUGCUGUAAGCU
Molecule: ribosomal RNA, 122 nt
Filed under: Oncorhynchus mykiss (rainbow trout)
Lineage: Eukaryota; Metazoa; Chordata; Actinopteri; Salmoniformes; Salmonidae
Source: RNAcentral